Molecule: ribosomal RNA, 808 nt
Filed under: uncultured bacterium
Lineage: Bacteria
Description: bacterial SSU rRNA
Rfam family: Bacterial small subunit ribosomal RNA
Source: RNAcentral
AGAGUUUGAUCCUGGCUCAGAGCGAACGUUAGCGGCGCGCCUAACACAUGCAAGUCGCACGAGAAAGGGCUUCGGCCCCGGUACAGUGGCGCACGGGUGAGCAACACGUGGGCGACCUUCCCCGGAGUGGUGGAUAACCUGCCGAAAGGCGGGCUAAUACAGCAUACGACGGCGGGACUCCGGUCCCGCCGUGAAAGCGGGCCAAUGUACACACGCUCGCGCUCCGGGUUGGGCCCGCGUCCCAUCAGCUAGUUGGUGCGGUAACGGCGCACCAAGGCGACGACGGGUAGCUGGUCUGAGAGGAUGGCCAGCCACACUGGAACUGAGACACGGUCCAGACUCCUACGGGAGGCAGCAGUGGGGAAUCUUGCGCAAUGGUCGAAAGACUGACGCAGCGACGCCGCGUGGGCGACGAAGGCCUUCGGGUUGUAAAGCCCUGUGGGGCGGGACGAACAAGCGCCGGGUGAACAAUCCGGGGCCCUGACGGUACCGCCUUAGCAAGCACCGGCUAACUCUGUGCCAGCAGCCGCGGUAAGACAGAGGGUGCGAACGUUGCUCGGAAUUACUGGGCGUAAAGCGCGUGCAGGUGGCCCGGCACGUCCGGUGUGAAAGCCCGGGGCUCAACCCCGGAAGCGCGCUGGAAACGACCGGGCUGGAGGGCUGGAGAGGCGGGCGGAAUUCCCGGUGUAGAGGUGAAAUUCGUAGAUAUCGGGAGGAACACCGGUGGCGAAGGCGGCCCGCUGGACAGCGCCUGACACUGAGACGCGAAAGCGUGGGUAGCAAACAGGAUUAGAUACCCCCGUAGUCC